Molecule: transfer RNA, 72 nt
Filed under: Clostridiales bacterium
Lineage: Bacteria; Bacillati; Bacillota; Clostridia; Eubacteriales
Description: tRNA-Gly
Rfam family: tRNA
About the family: Transfer RNA (tRNA) molecules are approximately 80 nucleotides in length. Their secondary structure includes four short double-helical elements and three loops (D, anti-codon, and T loops).
Source: RNAcentral
GCGGGUUUAACUCAGAGGUAGAGUGUCACCUUGCCAAGGUGAAAGUCGCGAGUUCAAAUCUCGUAACCCGCU